This is a long non-coding RNA of Megalopta genalis, 2166 nucleotides long. RefSeq lists it as uncharacterized. NCBI's taxonomy places the organism in Eukaryota, Metazoa, Arthropoda, Insecta, Hymenoptera, Halictidae. The record is from RefSeq and is a predicted model, not a curated record.
GUCCAGAUCUUGGGCACGAUAACACGGGGAAACAGUCUCUCUGGCAGGGUCCGGGAGCGGUUCAAUCAUCGAUCAAACAGCUCGCGAGUUCGAGGCGAUCGCGAGCGGAUUUGUUACGGGGCAUCGUCGCAGGUCGCGGCGACGGUGCUUCCGCGACAUCGAUCAUCGUCCAGUCUCUUCGGGAUCAAGGUUCCACACACGGGCUGUGAUUUUCGCGUGACCCGGGCUCAGGGGACCGAGCUGCUCUCUGGACCAGUCACGGGCACACCGGAGAACGACGACGUUUCCUCGGCCAUGGAUCGUGCGGGGCCCGCGCGCGUCCCGUAGUCGGGUCACCAGUCGAAUCCACUUGGCCUCGUGGGCUUUACGUCAUUAUCGUCUCCGUCAUCCUGGCACGGCGAUGCGUGGCCGUUGUUCGUUAUUCUCGCUUCCGGAAGAAAACACACCGGGACAACACGGGAACUAUCACCUUGCGGGGAACACGACUCGCGUACGGGGCACGCGUGUCGAUCGCGACGCGUCACGGGUCCGCUCGGUCCCUCGAAAAAGCUCGUGCCGAUGACGUUUCGGAGCCGAACGACUCGUUUCGGCUAUGCACUUCACGGGGAAGCAGUGGCUCGAGCCUGCCGCGACCGCCACCAGAUGGCAGCCUCUGUCGAACCACCACCGUUCGCCACCACCCCGCCCGGAUUACAGCUUCUCGCACCCCGGCGCGCCCCGCCGCGCCCCUUUCCCGCGCAUCACCCUUCGAACGAUCCCGGUCGCCUGCUCGGCAGAGUAUCUUCCAGAGAGGUGAAUUUCUCGGCGAUCGGAUCCGCGAUGGAAAUUACGCGAAAUGUACAUCGGAAUGUUCGACCCCCUGAGGGCAGCGCGAGAGACCGUUCCAUUGGUUCGACGCGGUUCAGGGGUAGCGCGCGCACGCGCCCAACCACCGACCGCUCUGCCCGCUAUUCGUUCGAUCCGUUAGCAGCCUGUAUUCCUCGGCCAGAUAGACUGUUCCGUCUCCAAAGCGAUAACUCUCCUAUCUCGCAUCCCCUAUCUCUCUGCUGGCCCGGCAACGGCGGACACACGCGAUUCCCACAUCCGGUCGAUCGACUCGAUCUUUCGUCGGCGGCACGACGAUCGCGAGGACGAACGGGGGACACCGCGCGCGGUAACGGGGUCACCAGGUGUCGAAAGGGGCGAGCUUUGUCGGUCAACCCGAGCAGUCGCGUCCCUUUAAGACGACGCCGUCCGACCAUAAUUACCGAAGCCAUCGAGGUUAUAUUUCGGCGUCCCGCGACGCCGCGAACCGUGCCAUCGAAACGAGGCGUAGGUAGGACUUUCGAAACGCUCCGUAUGAAUCACCGGAGGUAAGAAAAGAGCGGCCGGGGGCAAGAAACUGUUAGUCAUCGUCCGAUGAUCUCGGAGCGAGAGACGCGGCGAAUCGAGUCGACUCGACUCGACUCGACUCGACUCGGGUUCGAGUCGAGUCAGCAUCAUCGUGAAGGUACAAACGUUGCAUGCAAUUAAGGAACAAUCGAGGAUGCCGCUUCAAUGAGCCGCGCCGAGGCGAGCCAGGAAUCAAAGAUAGCGUACGCGAUUGGCGAGAGCGAGCCGGGUGGGAAGAGAAAGAAAGGCGGCGGGAAAGAGCGAGGAGUGGGGAGGGAAGAGAAAAGAGAGGCUCGGCUGGUACGAACAACGUGUAGCGGAUCUUCUACGCAGGAUCGUCGACCUUGCCGGCCAGAGAUAUAGAGGAAACGAUGCCCGCAGCCAGUAUGGGAGAUCGAGCGCCAGAUGCCCGAGGACUUAACCCUCCACUAAAUUUUUCCCGGGCUUCCAGACUUCCUGCGGCGUCAUUAAUCGUAUUGUCUGUCCUUCGAAGACGAAUGGCUUCCUUGAGUCUAUCGUGAUCCACGAUUCCACCCUUCGUUAACAUUUUUAUGAAUUAUAUUUUCUUCCCUGCGAUUACCUUGCCGAGGUGAACACUUGGUUGGGUUUCGUGACUUUUCGCGCGCAAAAAUGGCGCACGAUACUGGCGAACGACGACGUUGAGUUUCGACGUUCGGUUAUUUAUUAAUGAGAUCUUUUAUUAGCGAUAAGAUGCACAUGUUUUUAGUAAAUAAAAUUAAAUAAAAAUUAGAUUAAGUUGUACAAUAAAAUAAAAUAAAAUUAGAUUAAGUUAAA